This 301-nucleotide ribosomal RNA is filed under the name uncultured bacterium. RNAcentral's name for it is "partial 16S ribosomal RNA". It matches the Rfam family "Bacterial small subunit ribosomal RNA", at positions 509 to 807 of the family's 1533-position model. The record is from RNAcentral.
CAGUCGCCACGGUAAAACGAAGGGUGCAAGCGUUACUCGGAAUUACUGGGCGUAAAGCGUGCGUAGGUGGUGGUUUAAGUCCGUUGUGAAAGCCCUGGGCUCAACCUGGGAAUUGCAGUGGAUACUGGGUCACUAGAGUGUGGUAGAGGAUAGUGGAAUUUCCGGUGUAGCAGUGAAAUGCGUAGAGAUCGGAAGGAACAUCUGUGGCGAAGGCGACUAUCUGGGCCAACACUGACACUGAGGCACGAAAGCGUGGGGAGCAAACAGGAUUAGAUACCCCAGUAGUCCCUGUCUCUUAUAC